GCGGGAAUAGCUCAGUGGUAGAGCACAACCUUACCAAGGUUGGGGUCGCGAGUUCGAGCCUCGUUUCCCGCU
RNAcentral lists this transfer RNA (72 nucleotides) under Sodalis sp. TME1. It matches the Rfam family "tRNA". Rfam says of the family: Transfer RNA (tRNA) molecules are approximately 80 nucleotides in length. Lineage: Bacteria; Pseudomonadati; Pseudomonadota; Gammaproteobacteria; Enterobacterales; Bruguierivoracaceae. The record is from Rfam by way of RNAcentral.